Molecule: ribosomal RNA, 468 nt
Filed under: uncultured bacterium
Lineage: Bacteria
Description: partial 16S ribosomal RNA
Rfam family: Bacterial small subunit ribosomal RNA
Source: RNAcentral
GGGGGGGGGGGGGGGGGGGGGGGGGGGGGGGGGGGCGGGGGGGGGGGCGGUGCUGGGGGGGGGUGCUCGGGGGGCGAGCGGGUGGGUGCCACGUGGGUCCCCUGCCCUUGACUUCGGGAUGACUUCAGGACGCUGGGGCUAACCCCGGAUAGGAGCUCCUGCUGCAUGGUGGGGGUUGGAAGGGUUCGGCGGUGGGGGAUGGACUCGCGGCUUAUCAGCUUGUUGGUGGGGUCGUGGCUUACCCAGGCUUUGACGGGUAGACGUCCGGAGAGGGUGACCGGCCACAUGGGGACUGAGAUACGGCCCAGACUCCUACGGGAGGCAGCAGUGGGGAAUAUUGCACAAUGGGCGGAAGCCUGAUGCAGCAACGCCGCGUGCGGGAUGACGGCCGUCGGGUUGUAAACCGCUUUCGCCUGUGACGAAGCGUGAGUGACGGUAAUGGGUAAAGAAGCACCGGCUAACUACGUG